GGGCUAUGAUGAAUUUUAUUCCAAUCAUUCGCAGUUUCCACCAUAAAGACUUCUUAGUCUUAAUGAUGGCUGAAGAUCCUUCCUUGGAUGUCUGAGCCC
This 99-nucleotide small nucleolar RNA is filed under the name Strongylocentrotus purpuratus (purple sea urchin). Its description in RNAcentral is "small nucleolar RNA SNORD14". It matches the Rfam family "Small nucleolar RNA SNORD14". Rfam says of the family: U14 small nucleolar RNA (U14 snoRNA) is required for early cleavages of eukaryotic precursor rRNAs. Lineage: Eukaryota; Metazoa; Echinodermata; Echinoidea; Camarodonta; Strongylocentrotidae. The record is from Rfam by way of RNAcentral.